Molecule: long non-coding RNA, 1894 nt
Organism: Haplochromis burtoni (Burton's mouthbrooder)
Lineage: Eukaryota; Metazoa; Chordata; Actinopteri; Cichliformes; Cichlidae
Exons: 2
Source: RefSeq, a predicted model, not a curated record
UAGCUUGAAUAACAGUUUCAGCUGAAACAUUCAUUUCAUUGGUUCUUUUUGUUUGUCUUUAAACCAACAUGGUGGCAAGCAGCAUGACACAAAACAUCUGGGAGUGUGAGAAACGAAGAUCACGGACCAGAGUAAGAAGACCUACAGAGAGAUCAAGAGGAAUCUCUCUGACAGCAAAGAUGAACAUUAUUUGGACUGAAGGCUCCACCAACAUGUCAUUUUAAAGUCAGCUGGUAAAUAAACAGAUGAAGAACACAUGCCCCUGCCUGAACAGGACACCAUACGUGACACGUGAACCUGCAACAGGGUCUGGACCACAGACAGAUUAACUUAAAAGCACGGGGAUGUCAGACAAACAUAGGAACAUGACCGCAGAAACAAAGGGUAACAAAACAGGGAAACUAGACACAAAAGGAAACUCAUAACUUAACAGCCAAGAAGUAGAAAAAAUAAACGCAGUUGCAUUAAAGAAAACAAAAGUCAAGACUAACUAAUACAGAAAAUAAGAACUAGAAAAUGAAAAUCUCUUAAAUUUAAAGGAAUGAAUCACAAGACCAUAAUAUAUUCAAAACUUGGUUGAAGACCCACCAUGACACAUGCAUGUUUUAAGAUUGAGUUUCUUUCAUAUGAUUCAAUUCAGUUCAAUUCAAUUUUGUUUAUGGAGCGCAAAAUCACAACAACAGUCGCCUGAAGGUAUAUACCUUGUAUACUGAACCUCCCCCAAAGAAAAAAAAAACAGGCCUACAGCUUGAUUAGUUUUAAGUAUAUUAAAACACAUUAAUAGUAUAAAUCAGCUCAAAUAAAAAGCUUGAAGAACAUGGUUGACUGUCAAUAUCAACAGUGUGAAUUAAAAUGUAAUGAAAAAUUACAGUGGACUGGUGGAAAAGCAGCUGGUUAAACAUACUGCCAUCUCCUCUCAUAGUCGUCAGAGCUUGAGUUUAGACUCUUAGUCUUAGUUUAGUCUUGAGUUUAUCUGUAUUUCUAGUUCGCAGUGUCUUGUUUGAUAAUAGGUUGCGUUCAUGUCGUUGUGUCGUCUCUGUGUCUUGUCCUCAAUGUCUCACUUUAAAAUCAGGUUAAUAAGCAUGGAGACAAGACUAUCUGUUUCCCCAGUCAUGUCUCUCGCUCUGUCUCUUCACAUCUCUGUGUCCGUGUCUCAGCGUUUGUGAGUUCCUGUUUACUUUGGUAGUCGUCAUCUCAUGUGCCUCGUGUUCUGCUUUGCUUCCCCCAUCUCACCAUGUCUAUGUUUCUCUGGCUGUGUUCCCAUGUUCCCUGUGUCCACUUCUCCUAACCACCUUCCUGUGUAUAUAUUGUGUCUGUCUUCCCUUAUACUUGUACGUUAUGUUCAAAAUGUGAUCAUGUUAGUUAGACAGUUUGUAUUUAGCUUCCUUUUCAUUAAAAGGCUCUCCUUUGGCUGAAACUCCUCUGUGCUGCCUCCAUGUCUGCAAUCCUGGGCCCUCUUUCACCACAGCAGCAAAACAGAGAGCUGCAAUCUUUUGGAAGAUUGAAACAAAAAACACAGGUUUCGGGAACCACUGUCAACAGCUACCACAGGAUGGCAGUAAUGUAAAGGAUGGAUUCAGACAGGUGGGGAACUUUAUAGCAACACUGUUCAAGAUGAAAGGAGAAAAAUUGUUUUACUUUGGUACAUUUUAAUUUAUGUGUAUUUUUCGAUUUGACAAGGCAAGCACUGUUUGCCUUUCUUGUCCUGUCUGCCAUGUGUUAAAUUACAGUAAUGUGAAAUGAUUCCUGCUUAAUGAUAGAAAUACAGUGAAAUAUUUUAAUUAUUUGUUCACUGAUUUUCUCUAAUUUUGCCUGUCGUUGCCAAGACCUUCAGGAUGUAGCUUUAGCUGUCUCUUCCUGUUGAAGAAUCAUAAAAAGGUUCUUGAAAUAUUUA